RNAcentral lists this small RNA (751 nucleotides) under Pongo abelii (Sumatran orangutan). RNAcentral describes it as "retained intron". Lineage: Eukaryota; Metazoa; Chordata; Mammalia; Primates; Hominidae. The record is from RNAcentral.
GCCACACCGGUGGUACCGGCGAGUGCUCCUCCGGCCACGCCAGCCCCAGUCCCGGCGGCGGCCCCAGCCUCGGCCCCAGCCUCGGUUCCAGCGCCAACGCCAGCACCGGCUGCGGCUCCGGUUCCCGCUGCGGCUCCAGCCUCAUCUUCAGACCCUGCGACAGCAGCGGCUACAACUGCGGCUCCUGGUCAGACCCCGGCCUCAGCGCAAGCUCCAGCGCAGACCCCAGCGCCCGCUCUGCCUGGUCCUGCUCUUCCAGGGCCCUUCCCCGGCGGCCGCGUGGUCAGGCUGCACCCAGUCAUUUUGGCCUCCAUUGUGGACAGCUACGAGAGACGCAACGAGGGUGCUGCCCGAGUUAUCGGGACCCUGUUGGGAACUGUCGACAAACACUCAGUGGAGGUCACCAAUUGCUUUUCAGUGCCGCACAAUGAGUCAGAAGAUGAAGUGAGUGGGAAUCCAAGCUGUCCCUCUGCAGUUUUUAGCUGUUCAUUUGCUAGGCUCCCCUCACAGCCCCUCCCACACUCAUAACUAGAGCUCCUGUAGCCAAGGAGCUUCUUCCCAUUUGUGGCUGUUGACAUGGAAUUUGCUAAGAAUAUGUAUGAACUGCAUAAAAAAGUUUCUCCAAAUGAGCUCAUCCUGGGCUGGUACGCUACAGGCCAUGACAUCACAGAGCACUCUGUGCUGAUCCAUGAGUACUACAGCCGAGAGGCCCCCAACCCCAUCCACCUCACUGUGGACACAAGUCUCCAGA